RNAcentral lists this ribosomal RNA (329 nucleotides) under uncultured Glomus. RNAcentral's name for it is "SSU rRNA". It matches the Rfam family "Eukaryotic small subunit ribosomal RNA", at positions 766 to 1092 of the family's 1831-position model. The record is from RNAcentral. Lineage: Eukaryota; Fungi; Glomeromycota; Glomeromycetes; Glomerales; Glomeraceae.
UUAGAGUGUUUAAAGCAGGCUCGCGCUUGAAUACAUUAGCAUGGAAUAAUGAAAUAGGACGUUUGAACCUAUUUUGUUGGUUUCUAGGAUCAACGUAAUGAUUAAUAGGGAUAGUUGGGGGCAUUAGUAUUCAAUUGUCAGAGGUGAAAUUCUUGGAUUUAUUGAAGACUAAACUACUGCGAAAGCAUUUGCCAAGGAUGUUUUCAUUAAUCAAGAACGAAAGUUAGGGGAUCGAAGACGAUCAGAUACCGUCGUAGUCUUAACCAUAAACUAUGCCGACUAGGGAUCGGAUGAUGUUAAUUUUUUAAUGACUCAUUCGGCGCCUUACG